This 158-nucleotide ribosomal RNA is filed under the name Aspergillus aculeatus. RNAcentral describes it as "5.8S ribosomal RNA". It matches the Rfam family "5.8S ribosomal RNA". Rfam says of the family: 5.8S ribosomal RNA (5.8S rRNA) is a component of the large subunit of the eukaryotic ribosome. RNAcentral also lists the same sequence under 2 other names. Lineage: Eukaryota; Fungi; Ascomycota; Eurotiomycetes; Eurotiales; Aspergillaceae. The record is from RNAcentral.
AAACUUUCAACAAUGGAUCUCUUGGUUCCGGCAUCGAUGAAGAACGCAGCGAAAUGCGAUAACUAAUGUGAAUUGCAGAAUUCAGUGAAUCAUCGAGUCUUUGAACGCACAUUGCGCCCCCUGGUAUUCCGGGGGGCAUGCCUGUCCGAGCGUCAUUU